CGUGCUCAGCACCGAGGGUGUCGAGGGUGUCGGGCAGACAGGACAGGUAGAGGAGUGAGCGCUAUAUGAAAGGGCGCUGAGGAGGGUGGGGGCCCAGCAGGCACAGGCUCAGGGAGAGGCAAAGCCAGGAGCGUGGCAGCGGCAGCCCGGGCGCCAAGAAGCAAGGCAGACUGGGGGUCUUGGCCCCACCCUCAGGCUCAAGGCUCAACCCCAACCUGAUCACACAGCCAUCCCCACCAGCCCCAAAGCCGUGCCUGCCCUCCUGUAGUUGGGGUCUGAGCCACAGCGAGGCUCUGGGCUAGCCUCAGUGCGAGUCCCACUCGCUCUGUAGUGGCUCAGACCAGGUACUCAACCUCUCUGCCCGGACUCCAGUGGACAGAUGGGGCCAACGACAGGGAACCCUGGGCAGGCUGCUGGGAGGAGGGAACGCACUCAUGCACACAAAGGGCAGUGUGGGGCCUGGCACACGGAGCGCGCUCCCCAACGCGACGUCUCCGCGGCCGCUGCUGAUGUCAUCGUCAGGCUUUUUCCUACCCCCUGGGCUGAAGGGCUCUCAGACACAGGUGGUGACCGGAGACACGGACCCCCCGGCCACGGGCACCAGUCACCAGGCUCGGCGGGCAGGAUUCUCACCAUCAGGAUCAAACUCAGUCUUUCCCACCUUAAGACACUCAAGCAAAACCUCACUAGACGUGUCUACGCAGCCAAAGGCUGCCCUAGCUUCUCCUGCCCCAUGCCGAACUCUCCAAAGCAUUCCUCCACUGCCGCCAGCACGCCCGCCUCCUGCACUUCCCUGCUCUGCUUCUUGUUUGUUUCCAUGGCCGAGCAGUGCUCGGGUGGCCAGCCUGUCAUCGCCAGAAGUGGCUCUGCACUGGGCACCCGUGGGGGAAGCCUGUGGGCUCCCCCUGGAGGAGCGGCACACACACAGUUAAAGACCACAAGUGGCAGGAGCUGUGCCACGCAGGGCAGUGGGAUCACAGGGGCCUCUGACCCAGUCUGGAGCCAUGGGGUGAAAUAAGCUCCCAGGCUGUGCCCUGAUGCCAGAGGACACCCUGCCCAGGGGCUGUGGAGGAAACGGACCCCAGGCCUUCGGUGGCACCAAGUGUUUUGAGAGGAAGAAUGCAGACGGACACUGCUGAGGCUUUCCUCCCCCUGACAUAGAGACUGGGAAUUUUUAUUUCUUUUUCCUUUAUUUAGCAAAAAAAAAAAAAUUUCGGACUUCCGUGGUGGUGCAGUAGAUAAGAAUCCACCUGCUAAAGCAAGGGACACAGGUUCGAUCCCCGGUCUGUGAAUAUUCCACGUGCAGAGGAGGAACUAAGCCCACGCACCACAGCUACUGAGCCUGAGUGCCGCAGUGAUGAAGCCGCCGAGCCGAGAGCCUGUGCUCCAACCAGAGAAACCACCGCAGGGAGGAGGAGCCUCGGCUGCGCAACUAGAAAAAGCCCACGUGCAGCCACAAAGACCUGGAGCAACCAAAAGUAAUAAGUAAAUCGAGAGAAGCUUUUUAAAAAUAAGUAAAGUAAAUUUAAGAAAUUAAGAAAAAAUUUGGGGCCACACUACACAGCUUGUGGGAUCUUAGUUCCCCAAGCAGGGAUCAAACUCACACCCCUGGCACUGGAAGCGUGGCGUCUUAAGCACUGGCCCACCAGGCGACACACCAAUUCUCCUUUGUUGGUGGGUGAGGGAUGUGGUCACUUGUGUUUUGGAAGGAUGAUCCUUCAGUGUGCUGCUCAGCACACUGAAGGGGGUGGGGGCUGGCCCACCCAGGGCCUCUGCCUGUCCCCCUCCCAUUCCAGGUUCUGUCCUCUCUCUGCACCGUCUGAGGGUGAUGCCCACCACGCUCCCACCUCCCACAGACGUGCCAGCUCCAAAACUCCCCAGAUGGUGCUCCAGCUCUGCCUUCUCUUCAGCCCCCGGCCGGGGACACUGGAGGCCAGCCAGACAUUCCUGCCUGCACGUCCCCCAGGUAGCUAACCCCUCCCCCACUCUCCCCUCGUCUGCCCCCCCACCCCUGCUCUGCGUCUCUGACCCAUCCACCCACCCACCGCAUCCUUCCUGCCAGCGCUUCAGACCGACCUCCCUGCUGAAGCCCACUUUUCUAACAUAAAUGUGAUCACAUCACCCACCCUCCUUCCGGUAAAAAUAAACAAAUAGAAACAAGAAUACCUGCUGAUGCU
This 2177-nucleotide long non-coding RNA is filed under the name Bos mutus (wild yak). Its description in RNAcentral is "lncRNA (ENSBMUG00000016545.1)". Lineage: Eukaryota; Metazoa; Chordata; Mammalia; Artiodactyla; Bovidae. The record is from RNAcentral.